Molecule: ribosomal RNA, 303 nt
Filed under: uncultured bacterium
Lineage: Bacteria
Description: partial 16S ribosomal RNA
Rfam family: Bacterial small subunit ribosomal RNA
Source: RNAcentral
AGCAGUAGCCGCGGGAAUACGGAGGGGGCUAGCGUUAAUCGGAAUUACUGGGCGUAAAGCGUGCGUAGGCGGUUCGUUAAGUCUGUUGUGAAAGCCCCGGGCUCAACCUGGGAAUGGCAAUGGAUACUGGCGAGCUAGAGUGUGUCAGAGGAUGGUGGAAUUCCCGGUGUAGCGGUGAAAUGCGUAGAUAUCGGAAGGAACACCUGUGGCGAAAGCGGCUCACUGGACCAUUUCUGACGCUGAGACGCGAAAGCGUGGGGAGCAAACAGGAUUAGAUACCCGAGUAGUCCCUGUCUCUUAUAC